GUCCACGCCGUAAACGAUGGGCACUAGGCGUCGGGGGGAGCGACCCUCCCGGUGCCGUCGCUAACGCAGUAAGUGCCCCGCCUGGGGAGUACGGCCGCAAGGCUGAAACUCAAAGGAAUUGACGGGGGCCCGCACAAGCGGUGGAGCAUGUGGUUUAAUUCGAAGCAACGCGAAGAACCUUACCUGGGCUUGACAUGUACGGGACGGUCGGUGGAAACAUCGGCCUUCCUUCGGGACCCGUGCACAGGUGCUGCAUGGCUGUCGU
Molecule: ribosomal RNA, 265 nt
Filed under: uncultured bacterium
Lineage: Bacteria
Description: partial 16S ribosomal RNA
Rfam family: Bacterial small subunit ribosomal RNA
Source: RNAcentral